Molecule: ribosomal RNA, 257 nt
Filed under: Salmonella enterica subsp. enterica serovar Mbandaka
Lineage: Bacteria; Pseudomonadati; Pseudomonadota; Gammaproteobacteria; Enterobacterales; Enterobacteriaceae
Description: partial 16S ribosomal RNA
Rfam family: Bacterial small subunit ribosomal RNA
Source: RNAcentral
GGCCGCAAGGUUAAAACUCAAAUGAAUUGACGGGGGCCCGCACAAGCGGUGGAGCAUGUGGUUUAAUUCGAUGCAACGCGAAGAACCUUACCUGGUCUUGACAUCCACAGAACUUUCCAGAGAUGGAUUGGUGCCUUCGGGAACCGUGAGACAGGUGCUGCAUGGCUGUCGUCAGCUCGUGUUGUGAAAUGUUGGGUUAAGUCCCGCAACGAGCGCAACCCUUAUCCUUUGUUGCCAGCGGUCCGGCCGGGAACUCA